Molecule: transfer RNA, 77 nt
Filed under: Pseudomonadota bacterium
Lineage: Bacteria; Pseudomonadati; Pseudomonadota
Also listed under: 4 other names
Description: tRNA-Asp
Rfam family: tRNA
About the family: Transfer RNA (tRNA) molecules are approximately 80 nucleotides in length.
Source: RNAcentral
GGAGCCGUAGUUCAGUUGGUUAGAACGCCAGCCUGUCACGUUGGAGGUCGCGGGUUCGAGCCCCGUCGGCUCCGCCA